This is a long non-coding RNA of Protopterus annectens (West African lungfish), 545 nucleotides long. RefSeq lists it as uncharacterized. The record is from RefSeq and is a predicted model, not a curated record. The transcript has 4 exons. NCBI's taxonomy places the organism in Eukaryota, Metazoa, Chordata, Ceratodontiformes, Protopteridae.
CUGAUUCAUCCAGCUGAAUGGCUGUGAUUGACUUUUUCUCCCUCUGCUGGUCUGACUCAUUAUUCGGAACGUUGUUGCUCAGUGUUAUUAUAUCUGUUGGUUUAGGAGACUGACUAUGGAAUUUCAGAAUGACUUUGCCAAUCAAAGCCACAUGGAGAGAAGUACUGGCCAAACUUCGUGAAGCAGAAUCUUCAAAAAGACAUUCCCAGCGAUUCAUUAAACAGCCUAGUAGGAACCAUACAGCUCAUACUAAAAAGGUCCUUCUUCCACAACAUGCCAAUUGUGAGCCGUGAUGAGGUGAUAAUCAGAAGCAUUAGAAAACCACAAACUCAGAUGUGAUUUUGCCCAUUUGGAUAAACGAGAAAUUUCCUUUCCAGCGAGUGCUUCUUCAAACUCAACAGUAAAAUGCAAACACAAGAAAUCAUCGGAAAUAAAAUCAAAGAAUGAGAGAGAGAGAACUAAAACUAAAUAGCAAUGUUUUAAACUUCCCACAGAAUUUGGCUUUUAAUGUUUUCUAUGCAUUUCUAUGCAUUAAGCACUUCUGA